AUCCAGCUGACUAGUUUCAAAUAAGACGAAACGCGCUUCCUGGAU
Molecule: non-coding RNA, 45 nt
Filed under: Schistosoma margrebowiei
Lineage: Eukaryota; Metazoa; Platyhelminthes; Trematoda; Strigeidida; Schistosomatidae
Source: RNAcentral